AGUGAACGCUGGCGGUAGGCCUAACACAUGCAAGUCGAACGGCAGCACAGUAAGAGCUUGCUCUUACGGGUGGCGAGUGGCGGACGAGUGAGGAAUACAUCGGAAUCUACUUUUUCGUGGGGGAUAACGUAGGGAAACUUACGCUAAUACCGCAUACGACCUACGGGUGAAAGCAGGGGAUCUUCGGACCUUGCGCGAUUGAAUGAGCCGAUGUCGGAUUAGCUAGUUGGCGGGGUAAAGGCCCACCAAGGCGACGAUCCGUAGCUGGUCUGAGAGGAUGAUCAGCCACACUGGAGGUGAAACAGGGUCCAGACACCUACAGGAGGCAGCAGUGGGGAAUAUUAGACAAUGGGCGCAAGCCUGAUCCAGCCAUACCGCGUGAGUGAAGAAGGCCUUCGGGUUGUAAAGCCCUUUUGUUGGGAAAGAAAAGCAGCAGGUUAAUACCCCGCUGUUCUGACGGUACCCAAAGAAUAAGCACCGGCUAACUUCGUG
This 492-nucleotide ribosomal RNA is filed under the name uncultured bacterium. Its description in RNAcentral is "partial 16S ribosomal RNA". It matches the Rfam family "Bacterial small subunit ribosomal RNA", at positions 29 to 507 of the family's 1533-position model. The record is from RNAcentral.